This 465-nucleotide ribosomal RNA is filed under the name uncultured bacterium. Its description in RNAcentral is "partial 16S ribosomal RNA". It matches the Rfam family "Bacterial small subunit ribosomal RNA", at positions 28 to 507 of the family's 1533-position model. The record is from RNAcentral.
GACGAACGCUGGCGGCGUGCUUAACACAUGCAAGUCGAACGGUGAACUCCGCUUGCGGGGGGAUCAGUGGCGAACGGGUGAGUAACACGUGGGCAACCUGCCCUCAGCUCUGGGAUAACUCCAAGAAAUUGGGGCUAAUACCGGAUAUGACCGCUGACCGCAUGGUCUGGUGGUGGAAAGAUUUAUCGGCUGGGGACGGGCCCGCGGCCUAUCAGCGUGUUGGUGGGGUAGUGGCCUACCAAGGCGACGACGGGUAGCCGGCCUGAGAGGGUGACCGGCCACACUGGGACUGAGACACGGCCCAGACUCCUACGGGAGGCAGCAGUGGAGAAUAUUGCGCAAUGGGCGAAAGCCUGACGCAGCGACGCCGCGUGGGGGAUGACGGCCUUCGGGUUGUAAACCUCUUUCAGCAGGGACGAAGCGAAAGUGACGGUACCUGCAGAAGAAGCACCGGCCAACUACGUG